AAUUGGAGGGCAAGUCUGGUGCCAGCAGCCGCGGUAAUUCCAGCUCCAAUAGCGUAUAUUAAAGUUGUUGCAGUUAAAAAGCUCGUAGUUGAAUUUCGGGAUCAAUAUUUCGGUCAUGCCGUUGGUAUGCACUGUUAUCAUUGAUUUCUCACCUUCUAAAGAACCGUAAUGCCAUUAAUUUGGUGUUACGGGGAAUUAGGACUGUUACCUUGAAAAAAUUAGAGUGUUUAAAGCAGGCUCACGCUUGAAUACAUUAGCAUGGAAUAAUGAAAUAGGACAUCCGAUUCUAUUUUGUUGGUUUCUAGGAUCGAUGUAAUGAUUAAUAGGGAUAGUUGGGGGCAUUAGUAUUCAAUUGUCAAAGGUGAAAUUCUUGGAUUUAUUGAAGACUAACUACUGCGAAAGCAUUUGCCAAGGAUGUUUUCAUUAAUCAAGAACGAAAGUUAGGGGAUCGAAGACGAUCAGAUACCGUCGUAGUCUUAACCAUAAACUAUGCCGACUAGGGAUCGGAUGAUGUUAAUUUUUUAAUGACUCAUUCGGCGCCUUACGGGAAACCAAAGUGU
RNAcentral lists this ribosomal RNA (560 nucleotides) under uncultured Glomus. RNAcentral's name for it is "SSU rRNA". It matches the Rfam family "Eukaryotic small subunit ribosomal RNA", at positions 546 to 1106 of the family's 1831-position model. The record is from RNAcentral. Lineage: Eukaryota; Fungi; Glomeromycota; Glomeromycetes; Glomerales; Glomeraceae.